UAGACCCGAAACCAGGUGAUCUAGCCAUGCGCAGGAUGAAGGUGCGGUAACACGCACUGGAGGUCCGAACCAGUGCCCGUUGAAAAGGUCUUGGAUGACGUGUGGUUAGGGGUGAAAGGCCAAUCAAACCUGGACAUAGCUGGUUCUCCGCGAAAGCUAUUUAGGUAGCGCCUCGCGUGAAUGCCUUGCGGGGUAGAGCACUGGAUGGGCUAGGGCCGCCCACAGCGGUACCGCACUCAACCAAACUCCGAAUACGCAAGAGCACUGCGCGGGAGACACACGGCGGGUGCUAACGUCCGUCGUGAAGAGGGCAACAACCCUGACCGACAGCUAAGGCCCCCAAUUCGUGGCUAAGUGGGAAAGGAUGUGGGACUCCCAAAACAACCAGGAGGUUGGCUUAGAAGCAGCCAUCCUUUAAAGAAAGCGUAACAGCUCACUGGUCUAGCCAAGGGGUCCUGCGCCGAAAAUGUAACGGGGCUCAAGCCACGAGCCGAAGCUUCGGGUG
Molecule: ribosomal RNA, 505 nt
Filed under: Methylobacterium platani
Lineage: Bacteria; Pseudomonadati; Pseudomonadota; Alphaproteobacteria; Hyphomicrobiales; Methylobacteriaceae
Description: bacterial LSU rRNA
Rfam family: Bacterial large subunit ribosomal RNA
Source: RNAcentral